Molecule: transfer RNA, 49 nt
Filed under: Crotalus scutulatus (Mojave rattlesnake)
Lineage: Eukaryota; Metazoa; Chordata; Lepidosauria; Squamata; Viperidae
Description: partial tRNA-Leu
Source: RNAcentral
UCUAUCAAAGGAGAAUAGUUACCCCNNGCUGGUCUUAGGCACCACAACU